GAUCUGACUGUAGUGCCUGUCCUCCCACUUGCUGCAGGGAUGGCGCCCGGGAUCUGCUAGCUAGGGAUGCGGGCCCUGCUUUUGUCAGUGCUCAUCCAGAAGCUGCAGGCUCAGUGAGGAUAACCCCACCACCACCACCACCACCACCACCGAGAAGCUCUGUGCUUCUGUUAAAGGUAUAAGACUACCCCCGUGCUCCUGCUAACGCUUUCCCAAGGCUCUCAGGGUCUACAGUUUUGUAUCGGGUAUCAGGUAUGCUAACCAAUGCAACAAGGCAAGAAAAAGAACUUGAAAAAAGCCAUAUGCUUUGUUUUAAAGACU
This 321-nucleotide small RNA is filed under the name Mus pahari (shrew mouse). RNAcentral's name for it is "sRNA (MGP_PahariEiJ_G0008327.1)". The record is from RNAcentral. Lineage: Eukaryota; Metazoa; Chordata; Mammalia; Rodentia; Muridae.